AUUUAUAUAGUUUAAACAAAAACAUUACAUUUUCAUUGUAAAAUUAAAUAUCAUUUAUUUCAUAAAUA
RNAcentral lists this transfer RNA (68 nucleotides) under Cautires andujari. Its description in RNAcentral is "tRNA-Glu". Lineage: Eukaryota; Metazoa; Arthropoda; Insecta; Coleoptera; Lycidae. The record is from RNAcentral.